AAGGCAAGGAAGUGGUAAGAGAAAAAGAAUAGGAUUACUUUGUUAUCCUAUAACUUUUGGCAUGGAUGAGCACUCCACUGGCCCAGUAGGUUCACAUUCGUCAGUUCAUGCACAUCAUAUUGAACAAGAACAGAUGCAU
This is a long non-coding RNA of Ricinus communis (castor bean), 139 nucleotides long. RefSeq lists it as uncharacterized. Lineage: Eukaryota; Viridiplantae; Streptophyta; Magnoliopsida; Malpighiales; Euphorbiaceae. The transcript is spliced from 2 exons. The record is from RefSeq and is a predicted model, not a curated record.